RNAcentral lists this unclassified non-coding RNA (345 nucleotides) under soil metagenome. Its description in RNAcentral is "partial contains 5.8S ribosomal RNA, internal transcribed spacer 2, and large subunit ribosomal RNA". The stretch from base 2 to 120 matches the Rfam family "5.8S ribosomal RNA", at positions 36 to 154 of the family's 154-position model. The record is from RNAcentral.
UAUGAAGAACGUAGUGAAAUGCGAUACGUAAUGUGAAUUGCAGAAUUCAGUGAAUCAUCGAGUCUUUGAACGCACAUUGCGCCCCCUGGUAUUCCGGGGGGCAUGCCUGUCCGAGCGUCAUUGCUGCCCUCAAGCACGGCUUGUGUGUUGGGCCUCCGUCCUCCUCCCGGGGGACGGGCCCGAAAGGCAGCGGCGGCACCGCGUCCGGUCCUCGAGCGUAUGGGGCUUCGUCACCCGCUCUUGUAGGCCCGGCCGGCGCUUGCCGACACAUCAAUCUUUUUUCCAGGUUGACCUCGGAUCAGGUAGGGAUACCCGCUGAACUUAAGCAUAUCAAUAAGCGGAGGA